UACAGAGGGUGCGAGCGUUAAUCGGAAUUACUGGGCGUAAAGGGCGCGUAGGUGGUUAUAUAAGAUUGAGGUGAAAUCCCUGGGCUUAACCUAGGAACAGCAACGAUGACUGUAUAGCUGGAGUACUGUAGAGGGUAGUGGAAUUUCCGGUGUAGCGGUGAAAUGCGUAGAGAUCGGAAGGAACACCGGUGGCGAAGGCGGCUACCUGGACAGCUACUGACACUGAGGCGCGAGAGCGUGGGGAGCAAACAGG
RNAcentral lists this ribosomal RNA (253 nucleotides) under uncultured bacterium. Its description in RNAcentral is "partial 16S ribosomal RNA". It matches the Rfam family "Bacterial small subunit ribosomal RNA", at positions 524 to 776 of the family's 1533-position model. The record is from RNAcentral.